CCCUCCCUCUUUCUUCAUGCCUAACACAUGCAAGUCGAACGAGACCUUCGGGUCUAGUGGCGCACGGGUGCGUAACGCGUGGGAACCUGCCCUUAGGUUCGGAAUAACUCCCCGAAAGGGGUGCUAAUACCGGAUAAUGUCUUCGGACCAAAGAUUUAUCGCCUUUGGAUGGGCCCGCGUUGGAUUAGCUAGUUGGUAGGGUAAAAGCCUGCCAAGGCGACGAUCCAUAGCUGGUCUGAGAGGAUGAUCAGCCACACUGGGACUGAGACACGGCCCAGACUCCUACGGGAGGCAGCAGUGGGGAAUAUUGGACAAUGGGCGAAAGCCUGAUCCAGCAAUGCCGCGUGAGUGAUGAAGGCCUUAGGGUUGUAAAGCUCUUUUACCCGGGAUGAUAAUGACAGUACCGGGAGAAUAAGCUCCGGCUAACUCCGUG
This 433-nucleotide ribosomal RNA is filed under the name uncultured bacterium. RNAcentral describes it as "partial 16S ribosomal RNA". It matches the Rfam family "Bacterial small subunit ribosomal RNA", at positions 36 to 507 of the family's 1533-position model. The record is from RNAcentral.